Molecule: ribosomal RNA, 493 nt
Filed under: uncultured bacterium
Lineage: Bacteria
Description: bacterial SSU rRNA
Rfam family: Bacterial small subunit ribosomal RNA
Source: RNAcentral
GGCGGCGUGCCUAACACAUGCAAGUCGUACAAGAAAGUCGGCUUCGGCUGAUGAGUAAAGUGGCGCACGGGUGAGUAACGCGUGGAUAAUCUGCCCUUGAGUGUGGAAUAACGUACCGAAAGGUGCGCUAAUACCGCAUAAUGCCUGGCAACACAAGUUGUCCGGCCAAAGAAGGCCUCUGUUUACAAGCUUUUGCUCAAGGAUGAGUCCGCGUACCAUUAGCUAGUUGGUGGGGUAACGGCCUACCAAGGCUACGAUGGUUAGCUGGUCUGAGAGGAUGAUCAGCCACACUGGAACUGAGACACGGUCCAGACUCCUACGGGAGGCAGCAGUGAGGAAUAUUGCGCAAUGGGGGCAACCCUGACGCAGCAACGCCGCGUGAGUGAGGAAGGUUUUCGGACUGUAAAGCUCUGUCGAGCGGGAAGAAAUGUAUCAUGGCUAAUAUCCAUGAUACUUGACGGUACCGCUAAAGGAAGCACCGGCUAACUCCGUG